AUCCUCCGGUUCAUAAGCGUGAUGAUUGGGUGUUCAUGCUCCAUGCAUGACAUGUGCCUCCUUUGAACCUUGUUAUGACCUCGGCACAUUACCCAUCUGAUG
This 102-nucleotide small nucleolar RNA is filed under the name Cavia porcellus (domestic guinea pig). Its description in RNAcentral is "Small nucleolar RNA U13". It matches the Rfam family "Small nucleolar RNA U13". The record is from Rfam by way of RNAcentral. Lineage: Eukaryota; Metazoa; Chordata; Mammalia; Rodentia; Caviidae.